This is a non-coding RNA of Leptonychotes weddellii (Weddell seal), 1008 nucleotides long. The record is from RefSeq and is a predicted model, not a curated record. Lineage: Eukaryota; Metazoa; Chordata; Mammalia; Carnivora; Phocidae.
CGAGUCCCCCGCCCCUGAGCUGGGGGUUGACUGGAGAGAGCCGGCGUGCCCCCAGCGCGCUGCCAGCCUUCUACAGUCCGUGCCAGGGGUUGGGCCAAGAGGCCUGUCAGCGAGGCUGUUACAGGGCUGGUGAGGAAACUGAGCCUCAGAAGGGAUUUGCCUAUGGCCAUGGAGCUGGUAAGCUGCAGAGUUGGCAAGGUGGGGACCCAGAUUUGUAUCACAAAAGCAGAAAAAAGUGGCUAGGUUAGAGUUUAAAACACCUUAAAAAAACCCUCAUUGUUCUCUUCUGUAUUCCCAUACUACCUUGUUUAGACCUUUUGAGUGCAGAACCCACCUGACGGGUUUUCAACACGUGGGCAUAAUAGGGGGCAGCUGCUGAAUGAAUGGUGGAGGUAUUUGAUGGCAUGCAAAGCAAGUGUAAAAGAGCCGAUUUUCUAGGCAGUUAGGAGACUUUAAAAGUAAAAAAGAGUUGCUACUUAGCUGUCCCUGGGUUACCUGGAAUUUUGUCUUUCCAUUCAACAUAUUGAGAGAACUUGUAAGUGUGGACGGAGUUGGCAGUUCUACCUUUUCUGGGUAGAAUCUCUGGCUCAUGGGAGUACGUUGUUUCAAUUCCUUUGUCAUAUGUUGGUGUGGAAAUAAUUUUUAGUGUCAUAGGAAAUUGUGGUAGAUUAUUAAUGUUCACCAGUAUCCAUUUCUCCUCUACAUCUGGAUACAUGGAGGCACAACUCCCCUGGCCCCUUGAAGUAAAGCAGUACUCUGUGGGCUGGAGCAUUCAGUUGCUGGUCCUCCACUCUUUAGUUCUCUCUUCUCCAGCUGCAUUGAGACAACACUUCAGAAUGUUGGAGUUUUUGGCUUGGGUCUCAGAGAGAUUACCAUGAAUGUGAUCUCCUAUCAACUGUUAUGUUUAUGUAGAGUGAGUAAGAAAUAAACCCCGAUGGUAUUAAGCCACUCAGAUUUAGGCUGUUUGUUACUGUGGCUUAAUCUAGCCUAUUCUGACCCAUACAUUCA